GAAAUGCGAUAAGUAGUGUGAAUUGCAGAAUUCAGUGAAUCAUCGAGUCUUUGAACGCACAUUGCGCCCCUUGGUAUUCCAUGGGGCAUGCCUGUUCGAGCGUCAUUUGUACCCUCAAGCUCUGCUUGGUGUUGGGUGUUUGUCCCCGUCUCCGCGCGUGGACUCGCCCCAAAGUGAUUGGCAGCCGGCGUACUGGUCCCGGAGCGCAGCACAUGUCGCGCAAACGAGUGCCUUGGUACGGCGGCGUCCAUAAGCCCCUCUCUCACGCUCUUGACCUCGGAUCAGGUAGGGAUACCCGCUGAACUUAAGC
Molecule: unclassified non-coding RNA, 310 nt
Filed under: plant metagenome
Description: partial contains 5.8S ribosomal RNA, internal transcribed spacer 2, and large subunit ribosomal RNA
Rfam family: 5.8S ribosomal RNA (bases 1-105)
Source: RNAcentral